GGCUCGUCACCUCCCGCAUCCGAUUCACAUGCCAUUCUCCCUAGGAAGGGGCUGCCUGUUGACGAAGCAGGAAGGAAGGUCGGUUUGGCCGGCAGAAGGCCAUGGGAGGACAAAGGGUCGCGGGGAAGCUGGCAGGCAGGUGAGACCUGGCGGGCCUGGCUCACACCUGUCCGCCUCCGGUGGCCAGGACGGGACAGGUCUGGAGGCGGGGGGGCGGCUCCAACGCCUCUGGCGUCCCAGCUGCCGCAGAACGGGGCUGGGGCUGCGCCAGGCCGGCGGGCGGGGGCGGGAGGCGGCGUGCCGGGCCCCGGGUCCCUGACGUCAACGUUGCCAUGGAGACCCCCGCUUCCCUCGGCGCGCGUCGCAGCUGCCGCAGACCCCGGGGCUGGGAAGGCUCUGCAGGGUUGAGGGGAGCAGAAAGUGCGGGCCUGGGUCCCGCCGCUGCGCCCCAGAGCACCGCCCAGCGAGAGGGCGGGGGACCGAGACCCCCCGAGGGGCUCCCCGCUGCCCUCCAGCCUGCCCCCACCCCCGUCGCCCGGACUGGGAGCGACAGUCCGGGAGCUGCCUCGGCCAGAAAUCAGCCCAGGGUCCUGCAUGGCCCUCCCCACGGUAACACACCCAAGGGGGGCACGUCCCUCCGCCCGCGCCUCCCACUCCCAGCCCCACUGUGUUGGGCGCCCUGCCCCUUCCUUCCUUCGAGGAGCAUGUAGGGCGCCCCCCCUCGGUCCCCAGCGCUUGCCGUCCUCGGCGCGGACCCAGCGAGGGAGAAGGGGCGUCCUAACACCGCCGCCCGCCUGCUGGCGCCGCCCUCCCUGGAGCUCACGUAGGAAACGGUGUUUUCUUUGUCUCUAGACCUCGUUCAGUCGAAUCUCUCCAGGUUCUUAAAGACGCCUUCAGGAACAGACUGGCCAGGCUGGCUGACUUCAGCCUCGCCUCCACCUGCUCUUCGUGCCUCUUCUCUUUUCCGAGCUCCUUCCUCCUCCGCGGGAGUGAAAGGAAGGGACGCCCGUCCUGCGCUUCGCGGGUCUUGCCCUUGUCCUUGUUUGCCCGCUGCUGUUUCCCUGUUGUGGCCUAGAUGAGAAAACAGAGGCGCUAGCAUGUCAGGUAAACCCUGAGGGAUAAGAAGAGAUUCAUCUGGAAAAAGAAACCCUGCAAAACCACCUCAGUUGAGAGCCGCUGCGCUGUGAGUGCCUGAUACUUGGGUAGGAGGCUAAGAUACCAGAUGGAGAAGAGGCAGCAGGAACGCACUGGCCCAGCCUGGCCGGGGAGGGGUGCUGUCUGCGGGCAGGCCCGGCAAUGAUGAGUGAGACUUCUGGUGACAUCAAACCUUCUCCUUCGGAAGCUGGUUCAGUGGGCUGUCAAUCAUAGUCACCAACCCUGCCCUGCCCUGCCAGACACUGGAGUCAAGCAAGGAGCAGCCACUGCACCCUGUCGCCCAGUCACUGGGUUGAUGAGUGAGACAACCCUGAAGAAGGGCUAUUGAGUUCCUGGAUCCAGCCUGACCUGAAGCUAGCUCCCAAUAUGUGAGACAAUAAAUUCCCCAUUUCACUUAGGCAAGUUUGAAGGGGAGUUCUGACCCAUAUACCCUUUUUGCUUCAUAGAGCAAGAGAGGUUCCCCCAAGGCAGCCCCCUUCUCCCAUGGACAAGCCUCUCAGCCUUGGUUUUGAUCCAGCCCCACACAAGACCAAUCACCCACUCUCAGGGAGUCAGAGGGAGAUUCUCCGUUUGAGCUGUGGCUGGAGCUCAGAGCAACAGGAAUCAAACUCGUAUAAAGUACCUUGAUGUGCCACGUAUAGCGCUGGGGCUUUGUAAUAAGAAUUCCCCAAGGCCACACAGCCUAGAAGUGGAAUCACUUCAGUGUGAACCCAGGUAGUCUGACUCCAAAGCAGGCACGCUUCCCAAUGCACCACAUGGCUUAUUACCUGCAGGGGGGAUUUUCUGUUCCAUUGAACAUUUUGAUUGUAAAAACAUAAAAUUUACCAUGGGGAGGGGGAGCAGUUUAAGUCAGCACCGCCCUUCUCAGCCAGAAGAUGACCUAGAGAAUCAAUUACUCCAAGUGGCCUGGUGCCCUGGAAAAUAGGAGGCUAGGUCCCGUUCAUUCCCUCAAGCCCUACUAAGUGACUGGCAAUGUUCAAGGCAGGGCCCAGUGUUUGACGUGAAACAGUGAGGAGCUUGGAGGGAGCUUCUUCUCGGGGUUCACCCCGCACCUGCACAGCCUCAAGAGGGAGCGCCACCUUCAUUCCUGUGCCCGGGAGUCUAUCUGGGCCCCUCUUGGUCACUCUAGUCCCAGCAAAGUCCUGGGCAAAGAGCAGGUUCAGGGUCAAGUAGAAUUUAGAUGAGUGAUGGAGUCUCACCCCAGCCAGAGCAGAAACUGCCAAGGCACCGUCCCUGAGAAAUGAUUCUGUCAACAAGGUGUCCGAGGGGCACUUAGCACAGUGAUGUACAACGUGGCCUAAUCGCUGCUGUUGGGGGUCCGGGGAAGAGACCGAGGGCAGAUAGACACCAGCACACAUAAACCCCGCAUUACUGCCUGUGGACAGUGUCCUGAAGGGAAGGGUGGCGUGGUCUGCAGGGGCGUUACCAGAAUCAGGACACCCGCUCCCAGGAGGUGAUGGUUAGGCUGGCCAGCUCCUCAGAGGCCUGGAGCCUAGCACUGGCCUCCCCCAACCUUCUAAAUUUUCAUAACCAGGCUGCUCCCUUUGUUCCUCUAGCCCUGGGCAUGGUAGCUGCUCUGUGUCAUUAUUAACCCACAAUACCUUUUUAGUUGACCGUUCUUUACAUUGUCUCUGUUGAAAGAACCAGAGUGCUUUCUAUCCCUUGGUAGGACUCUGAAUGACACAGAACGAACUGCUGCAAGCUGAGGAAAGAGGAGAAGGUAGCCCAGUCCAGGCAGAGGCACCUGCAUGGCGUGGCCAGAGGCUAGGAGGCUGGAGGGAGCGAGGCACAUUGCAGGAGUCAGGACCAGUGGAGCUGGAGGGGAUUAAUGGGGUGGCAAGUAGAAUAAGAUGAAACUGGACAGGUCAGCUCUUACAUGGCAUGGAGUCUGGAUGGGAUCCUGGGAGCAAUGGGGAGCCAUGGAAUGCAAUACAGCGACUGAGUGAUUUAACUUUCAAAGAUUGCCCUGGCUGCCGUGAGCCUAACUCGCUGUUGGGGGCAAGAGUGGGCAGGAGCAAGAUAGUAUGUUAAAAGGUGCUAACUCCUUUGUUUUUUGUUUUUUCCUUUCUUUACUGCUUGGAAGGGAGGCGUCUCAAGGAAGAAAAACAUGGGGGCGAUUCUGGCGCAACAUGAUGUCACAAGAUAAAGGACAGGACCUCAUGGGCGCUCGAAAACUCAACAGUAAAGAGAAUGCCAGGACCCUAAAUGAACCCCUACUAACCCUAAGUGAGUCAGAGAAAGUCUCCACCGAUGACUCCCCAGGACCGUGCGGCCACCAACGGAGCCAGCCUGCUGGCCAAAAGAAGGUAGAAAGCGCUUUCAGGCCUGCCCAGUGUCUCCUGGCGGAUAAGUGUGGCCCUUACUCCCCCAGAUGCCAUGAGGCCACGUGGAGGGGGUGACGGCCCCGAGCUGCUCGCGGUCUGGCUCCCCGCAGAAAAGCCCCAACUCCCAAGAAACGCCCGGGCCGGAAGCGGAAGCGCGGGUGCGUGCGUGCUGCAUUCUGGGAAGUGUAGUCCACAGAGGCCGGAAGAGUCCGUGAGAGCCGUGCGUUUGGGGGAAGGUAGUCCUCUAGUGGUCUGAGAGCCGGCGGCGUGAGCUGGAGUGGUUCACCUAAACCCCACGCCGUGGCGGGGGUUAACAGUUUGGGGACUUAGAGUGAAUACGUAGAAUUUGGUUUUGUCUCUCCCAACCACCAACACCCACGGAAGCGGAGAAUAGGACCUAUCCACGCUUCAGUGGUGGCAAGCAGGCCUGAGUUAUUCCGCCCUCGAACGAGUAAAUCAGCUGCGUAACCUCCCGGAACCUUUGUUUCCGUAUCUGUAAAACGGGCAGAUUAAUCAUUCUCACUUGGCAGCCUUGAUAACUCAAUCAAGUAACUAGCAAGGUGCUUAACACACCUUCCUUGCUUGACAAACCCCUCUUCCCUUUGAAGCUGAGCGUGAAGAGCAAAUGGAUGUGUUUCGCAACCAGGAGCAAAAAUUGUGCUUCAGCGGAGCACUUGGGACGUUUUCUUUGCAAAGUAGGAGUUGCUGCAAAUUGCAGCCAAAACUCAUAGGGGGGGAAAUAUAAGGAAAUCUUGUCACCCAGAGACUCAGCAAGGACGUGUGACCUUACUAGCCAACACACAGUAAGAUGUAAGUUAAAAAAUGAGACGGGUGCCUGGGUGGCCUAGAUGGUUAAGCGUCUGACUUGGCUCAGG
Molecule: long non-coding RNA, 4354 nt
Organism: Lynx canadensis (Canada lynx)
Lineage: Eukaryota; Metazoa; Chordata; Mammalia; Carnivora; Felidae
Exons: 4
Source: RefSeq, a predicted model, not a curated record